UUGCUUCAGCAGCACAUAUACUAAAAUUGGAACAAUAUAAAGAAAAUUGGCAUGGCCCCUGCAUGAGGAUGACAUGCAAAUUUGUGAAGAGAAGGCACUGGUG
Small nuclear RNA from Sarcophilus harrisii (Tasmanian devil), 103 nucleotides. Lineage: Eukaryota; Metazoa; Chordata; Mammalia; Dasyuromorphia; Dasyuridae. The record is from Ensembl.